GGGGGAGGGUGUAUAUGACAAACUCAGAGAUGAAGGUUAACAGGGAGCAGCUGCUUACCAAUUACGGCGUGAAAAACUCCCAAAGAGAUGUCAGGUGGCAAAGCUAGUUCUGCUGCUGCUUCAUUCGUGCUCAUGCUCAUUCGAAACCAACUCUUUGUGACUCCAUGGACUGUAGCCCACCAGGCUCCUCUGUCCAUGGGAUUUUCCAGGCAAGAAUACUGGAAUGGGUUGCCAUUUCCUCAUCCAGGGAAAUCUUCCAGACCCAGAGAUCGAACCUGCGUCUCCUGCAUUUAAGGUACGGGUUUGGCUUCAUCUCCAGACAUCGAUGAUUCCUCAGACCUGCUCACUUCUCUGGGCUUGCCUCUCCCUGCUCAAGCCCCAUCUCAUAUGCCUCUCCUAUUCUUCUGCUUCCUGGGGACCUCUGCAGUCAACGGUUGACUUGGAACCUCAAAAUACUAGUGACUUGGUGAGGAGAUCCAUCCACUCAUCUCAAAGAGGAAUUCAAGGCCCAGAAAAGAGCUGUGACUUGUCUGAGGUCAUCUUGGGGUCAAAGAACCAGAGCCCAGGACUCCUCCAGAUUCUUAAUCCGGAACUCAUCAUUCUUGCCCUGCAGGAUGUGGUUUCCAUCCCACAGCCCUGAAACAGACUUCCCCUGGGAUAUGGUGGUUGCCUAGGCUAAUACUUGGACGUUCUUUAGCACUGUGGGGCAAUAACCAGGGGAGACAGAGUUUGGGGAAAUGAGGAAGCAGGUGGGGGAGCCAUCCACAGGUGCUGAAAUUCCAGGAGGCUCAUAAGCACAUCGCCCUCCGUCCAUCCUGGGCAAAGCAGCAAGGACUGUCCCUUCAUUUGUCCACUCUGCCCUCACUGCCCUUUGGUGACUUCUCUUCCUCCUCUCUGCUCUUCAAGGCUGUCCUACUGCUCACUUUGGCCUGUCUCCUGAGGAGUAACAUGGUGAUGGAGCCAAUCUGUGUGAUGUGCUUGGGGGCCCACCCUUCACUGGAAAACCUCUGUUGAGUCAUAUACCCUCAAGAAUGGAAACAGAAAAUAAAAAUGAGAGACUACUCCCUGUGGAUGAUAUUAUGCGCUCCCCUGUUUCCCCUGGUCAAGCCCUCCUCCCUACCCUGGGAGGUCAGAAUAAGUCAAACAUUCCUGGGGGGGUGUGGGUGGGAGAGAGGCUCAAGAGGGAGAAGAUACAUGUAUACUUAUAGCUGAUUCACAAUGACGUACGGCAGAAACAACACAACUUAGG
Molecule: long non-coding RNA, 1249 nt
Organism: Bos taurus (domestic cattle)
Lineage: Eukaryota; Metazoa; Chordata; Mammalia; Artiodactyla; Bovidae
Source: Ensembl